UACGUAGGUGGCGAGCGUUGUCCGGAUUUACUGGGCGUAAAGGGCGCGUAGGCGGCUUGUCAAGUCACUUGUGAAAUCUCUGGGCUUAACCCAGAACGGCCAAGUGAAACUGACAUGCUAGAGUGCAGAAGGGGCAAUCGGAAUUCUUGGUGUAGCGGUGAAAUGCGUAGAUAUCAAGAGGAACACCUGAGGUGAAGACGGGUUGCUGGGCUGACACUGACGCUGAGGCGCGAAAGCCAGGGGAGCAAACGGG
This 253-nucleotide ribosomal RNA is filed under the name uncultured bacterium. Its description in RNAcentral is "partial 16S ribosomal RNA". It matches the Rfam family "Bacterial small subunit ribosomal RNA", at positions 524 to 776 of the family's 1533-position model. The record is from RNAcentral.